Molecule: ribosomal RNA, 447 nt
Filed under: uncultured bacterium
Lineage: Bacteria
Description: bacterial SSU rRNA
Rfam family: Bacterial small subunit ribosomal RNA
Source: RNAcentral
UGGGGAAUAUUGGACAAUGGGCGCAAGCCUGAUCCAGCCAUGCCGCGUGAGUGACGAAGGCCUUCGGGUUGUAAAGCUCUUUUGGCGGGGACGAUAAUGACGGUACCCGCAGAAUAAGCUCCGGCUAACUUCGUGCCAGCAGCCGCGGUAAUACGAAGGGAGCUAGCGUUGUUCGGAAUCACUGGGCGUAAAGCGCACGUAGGCGGAUUUGUCAGUCAGGGGUGAAAUCCCGGGGCUCAACCUCGGAACUGCCUUUGAUACAGCAAGUCUUGAGUUCGAGAGAGGUGGGUGGAAUUCCUAGUGUAGAGGUGAAAUUCGUAGAUAUUAGGAAGAACACCGGUGGCGAAGGCGGCCCACUGGCUCGAUACUGACGCUGAGGUGCGAAAGCGUGGGGAGCAAACAGGAUUAGAUACCCAUGUAGUCCCUGAGCGGGCUGGCAAGGCGCAU